CGGACGGGUGAGUAACACGUGAGCAACCUGCCUUCGAGAGGGGAAUAACGGCUGGAAACGGUCGCUGAUACCGCAUAACAUACCGGGAGGACAUCCUGCUGGUAUCAAAGAUUUUAUCGCUCGAAGAUGGGCUCGCGUCCGAUUAGGUAGUUGGUGAGGUAACGGCUCACCAAGCCGACGAUCGGUAGCCGGACUGAGAGGUUGAACGGCCACAUUGGGACUGAGACACGGCCCAGACUCCUACGGGAGGCAGCAG
This 256-nucleotide ribosomal RNA is filed under the name uncultured bacterium. RNAcentral describes it as "partial 16S ribosomal RNA". It matches the Rfam family "Bacterial small subunit ribosomal RNA", at positions 99 to 354 of the family's 1533-position model. The record is from RNAcentral.